Molecule: RNA transcript, 2410 nt
Organism: Lolium rigidum
Lineage: Eukaryota; Viridiplantae; Streptophyta; Magnoliopsida; Poales; Poaceae
Exons: 4
Source: RefSeq, a predicted model, not a curated record
GUGGUGGAGCGGUGGCUUUCAGCUCCGACGAGAAGAAGGUGUUGGGUGGCGAUGUGAACGGGGAGAAACUGGUGCAGGUUCUGAACGUGCUGGUGGUGGCUGACUGAUACAUGCAUCUCUCGGUUGAGGCUGGCCUCUCGCACCGCCAUCACGUGCACUGCCGCAAGCCUUCCCUGACCGAUCUCUUCCAUGGCCGGUCGAUGUGCUUUGGCUUCCAAGCUGCAGCUUCUCACCUAGACAACAUCGCUCCAUCUCACCGGCUGGUCAAGCAUUUGGCUGUUUAUCAUCAACCUAGCGGCUGGUCCGGCAUGCGGUUGCUCGAUGGCCGGCACUGCUGCUGCCUUCUCCUCAUCUGUGAGCGCACCGUCGGUUCCAAGCCACUCUACUGCAGUCUAAUGAGGGGUCCUGCUGCGGCGUCCCACAUGGGCGAUGCUCAAUGGGCAGCUCAGCCUUCAGAAGGGGAUUUUACAGUAGCAUGGAGUUUUUGGCCUCCCCAUGUCAGUACAUGUAGUUAUUACGCCGCCAACUGCCAUAACUACGUCAAAGAUUCAGCGAGAGAAAGAAGUAUAGAGACAAUCAUGGGAAGAAUAGCCAGAAUUUUGGAUCCUGUAGACCUCCUUUGCUCUGGAUAUUGGGUUACUAUGAAAGCAAUUUCUGACAUGCUUAAUCAAUUGGUAUGCACCUUUUUUUCUCUUGAAACAUUUUAUUAAACAGCGUGAAUGUCAUGCUUUCUUGCUUACUCACUUAUCCCUAGAUCGAUUCCUGUAUAUCACUAAAUUUUUGGCAUAUACAAUUUGCACCAAUAUUCAGGAGAUGAAAAGCAUGUUUUUUUAUACAUUAUUACCUAUAUAAAAACAACACCCCUUUGCUUUAACCAUGGCUAUUUGGGCACUGUUGAUGUCUUUGUUUUCGCCAUUACCGGCUUCACACGUUCUCCAUAUGUAACUGUUCAUGCACCGUAGAUGCGUGGGGUUUUAUUUUGGAUGUCUUUAUUUUUCUCUGUUUAUUUUCUUUUACCUGGAAACUACCGGUUCCUUGCUUUGAGGGAUUCAGUUGCUCCCGGUUCCUUGCUUUGAGGGUAAAAAUACAGCAUGUAUUCAGCAAGCUAAUGAAAUUCUGGCUGGGCUGUAAGUUUUCUUGCCUUCUUUUUUUCCCACUCCGCAUCAAACUCUCCAACACGCCGGCAACUCUGAGGUGCGAACAAUUUAUCCUCUUCUCCGUUGACUCUCUGGUACAUAAAUAGGAUGUAUUGAUUUGACUGACUCAAAAGACGAAUGUUCCCCUUGAUAAUUAAUGCAGCAACUUUGACUGUAUUUUCAUUAAGAAGUUUUUUGUAGUAAUUUAUUCAUAACAGGGCGCGCAUAGACUUCUAAUAUUUGCAAAUAAAAAAUUAAAUUCCUUUUGCAGUUAUAGUUUAUGCCACCAGGUAGAGUAGAGACUUUUACCAUCCGCAAAUUAGAAAUUAAUUACACAAGUCAUAAUGUUCUGUUUAAAGUUGCAUGUUAUAUUUUACAGAUGAGUGAAGUCAAAAUUGAAGAGAAAAAUCAAUUAGUUGACGAAUAACUGACAUAGUUGGUGAAGUACAAUAAAGAUGUAAGUAUAUUGACAGAGGAUACGGAAUGGCUAGAUUGUCAAAUGAUAUAUAUGAAAGACAGCUAGCUUCAUGAAAGAUAUUCAGGAAAUAUUUAGGUGUCAAUAAAUAUUAGGCUACCCUUGAAGAAAUCUUUAAUUACUCAAUGAGGUUCAGGUGCUAAACCCCGGCUAUGCAAGCAACAUGAGUUUACUUCAGAUGUUGAUUUCCUUAAUCGUAUUAACUUCUUAGAGAGUUUACUUGAUCAGCAAAUAUCAGUCUAUUGUCGAGCAUGUCUUUCUUUGUAAAGAGGAAUUUUGAUCUCACACACUUUGCUCGAGUGAAGAUGCUAAAUGAUAAUGCAUUUCUGCUACAUUGCUCCCAAGAUUACCCAUUCAUGUCUUCGCAUAAAUGUUAUCUGUAAUUUGAACAAUGGAUCAACGGUGGAGAAACUGAACUAAUAGAGUGCACACCUAAACAUGGUUCAGUUGUGUGUGUUCCCUUAGAUUGCUCAACUUCAGUUAACUGAUCUGUCUUGCAACCUUGCCAGUACUUUUUUUGAGGGCUAAAUGGGGAGAUUUCAUUCAGAAAAGUGAUACGGUUGGUUACAGUCUAAGGCCAAGGCCUUACUAAUCGGUGCUGGGAACUCAUCGCUCCAGGUCCAGUGACUACAGUCACAGUCAUGGGAAACAUUGUUUUGCACCCCUUCAGCUGAAACACAACUCCAGUUCUGGUUAUUAGACAUACAGUUUCUGACUUCAUGCAAUAAUACCCCUCAGGUACGAUAGCGUGUUGCAUCCGCUUUGUACAGCUUUAACGAUUGAGGCGCAAUUGAUUCAA